CCGGCGCAAUAGGUUUGGGGGGGGGGGUUUAUAAGUAUAAAGUCCAGAAUGGUCUGGUCUGUACCACUUCUUCUUACCUCCCCCCCAACCCCCUUACCUCAGCUUCCAAGAAUUACCCCAAUAUUAGCAUCCACAAUACUUCGGGCCGUACCACCUCUUCCACCUCACCCCGACUCCCAUUUCUACCCCGCCCCCUGCAUCCUGGGCCAUCGCCCGUCUUCCGGGUUUUUGCCUAGCUGUUCGUCUUUGAUGGCUCUGGAAGAGAGAACGAGCCAGACGACUUUGCACAACUCUGCUUCUUUUAAAUCCAAUUCUGAGCGAGUCAAGAUACCAUCUGGUGCUGUCAUUAGACCUCUUCGAAAAGAAAGGAGGAACAAUAAGGUUUCCAAAUAUUUUCAGGAUGCUCCUUAAGCUUUGUCUUAAAUACGUCUGUACCUGUGGUCUGAAUUUCUCAGACCCAACCCACUAAUCGUGAAUCUAAAUUUAAUCCAGUCUCUUCUAUUGACAUUAAAAGACAGGGUUUGAAUCUCACCCAAACUCCUUCAAUUAAUCAAGCCUUACAACAGUUUUCCCAGCUCUCCCUGCCACAGUUGUUGGAAGUUCUCCUUUCCCAAGAGGUAUAUCUCCAUGGCAAUUGUGGGAGAACCUUGACCAUUUUUUCUCUACACUAUUAAGUUUCCUGCCAUUCUUCACUUUGCUCCGGGUGAAAAUGAUGGCUUAUUUAUUUUUUAAAUCUUGCUUCUGGGUUUGCUGCACCUCCUGCUUUAGGAGAAGGUGGGAGGGACUGGGUUCAACAGGAGAGAGCUAACCAGUUUGUUUAAGGGUCAGGGACUAGACCUGUGAUUUCAUUGGAAUAGGGAACUCUUUCUACCGAGUUAAUUUGGUGUAUUUUCUACAAUUUAUAGUCUGAACUAGUCAAAAUGAUAUGUGACUUGUCCAGAGUCACAUAACAAGGAUGUGUCCAGAGCACCAGGCUGCCUCAAUGAUAAAAUCAUAGAUAUUUAUUACCAAAAGCAGGAUAUCUUAAAAACUGUAAUCUCUUCUUGAUUCUAGAACGAGAAGUUAGAUAGUUAAUAGAAAUGGUAACUUGAUCAACUUAAGGUAGAGGAACUAUUUUGCCUUCUAUGAUCAUAAAUUAAGCAGACUGCUGAUCUGAUGGUAAAGAAAUUUUUCUAGAAUACUUACCAGGAAGUGAGAGGUUCUCUUUCUGCCUCAAGUCUUUCUCUGACCAAAGGAUGAUUUGUAUAAAUCUAAUAGUCUAUAAGUGUUCAGUGGACUUGAUGAAAUUACAGAAUAAAGGGGAAUAGGUAACAAUAACAAUGUGAUCUAAAGUGUACUUCUUAUAGAAAAUAAAUGGCCUAUUUACACCUCCUAACUGGACCACUGGCAAUCAAUGGCAAUUGAGUUCCAUAACUUUUUUGCUGGCUUCUGCUGGGCAAUUCCAUAAAAGGCAAUUAAUGAUUGACUGAUCCCAGCCAUAUUCUUUCUGGCCUAGAAAGAAAGUAAAUUGGUUCCUAUUCCGGUCCUAACUAUAUAAAGGUCAAAGAAAAGUCUACUUGCUGUUUUCUCCCAGAAGAACAAAGAAGAAGAUGAAGAGCAGACUCUUCAGCUAUAAAGCUCUCACAGAGAGGUUUUUCUUUUCUUUUUUUUUUAAUGUUCAUAUAUUCUUAUAUCUUGUUAGUUGCAGGAUAGAAUUAGCAUAUUUUGUUGUUGUUGUUGCUUUUCUAUCUAAAAGUCCUAUAGUAAACUUUUAUGGAAUUGCAUUCUGAUAUUUUUUUGUGUACAUCUUCCUUACUUGCAUAAUGGGGGUCUAAUGCACAUGCAGACCUGGGCAGUUUGCUAAAACAAUGUCAAGAUGAAGGACAAGUAGAAAGAUUUUUCUAGAAUAGUGAGAACUGGAACAUGUGAAGACAUUCUACAUUGGCCUGAUACUUUUUCCAUUAGAUGCUUAACCCAAAUUGUCGGCAUCUUCAAAAUGGUCUGUUAGUUUUUGCCAUGGGCUUUAUUGCAUUCACAUUUGAGAGGGAGCAAGGUUAUUAUACUUAGGAUUGGAGAGUUCAUAAGAUAAAAUGAAGAGCCUUAAAGCCUCCUUCCUCAUCACCUUGAGUCCACAUGGCCUCUGAAAAACAGGUAUUUUCAUUUUUCAGUUGCAUGGAGAGGAGUCACCAAUCUAGAUAUAAGCCAUCAGGUUCUAGGAGUUUAGAAAUCCAGGCUAGGUGUUGCAGCCAGCCCCAAAACAAUGCUCUGAAGACCCAAGUUAUGGGACUUAAGCCCCACAGAAGCCAACAAAAAUGCCACCUUUGGAUGUGAACUUGAUGAGACUGAUGCUAUCUGAGAAAUUAGGUAAAUUGUUAGGUUUACCUAACACAUCUACCUCCACCUAAGAUUAAGGUGGAAUAAUGGAAAUUAUGCUCCACAGUUUUGGAGAAAAUACUUGUACUUUGUUCUGUUUAUAUCUUUUAAUUAAAUAUUCCCUUGUAAAAGUUAUCCAGUAUUAAGUAGUUGGAUGGAACUGGGGGUACUAGUCACUAACCCCUAACAAAUAGGGCAGGGUAAAACAUAGGGUGUACUAUUUCUUAUUUCCGGCCUCUUCAAGUGAAAAGAGGAGCCAAACCUUCCUCUGACUAGAUACUUUGUGCCUACCAUCUCCUGCUGUGCAUUGUGUCCCUUGAGGUAAGAUGGCAAAGGACCCGGGAACUAUCUGCUCCAAAGCAAAAUCUUCUAUCUGUGCUAACACAAGACAACUUUCACUUCCUGUUGCCAGACAAAUUUCCUAACCUGGAUGUGGAGAAUAUCUGGUGCAAAUAGAAGUAAACUUCCCUAUGACUUCAGACCUUCCAUUUCUUGUUGUGCCUGUCCCCUGAGAUUCAACUUCUGUCUCCUACUGUGUCUUUUUCUGCCUAAUGUAGAGGGAAGAGAAAUAAUGAAGUAGGAUCUUCUAUAUGAACAUCUUACUAUGUGGCCCUUAUCUUAUAUCAUCUCCAGCCAGAUCUCCAGUUUCUUUGGGGAAGAGAAAUGGCAUUGUACUCUGUGAUGAAUAUUCUCAUUCCUGAUCAAACCCUUUGCUUCAUGAUAAUUCUGAACUUCUGUUGGCCAUCAUCCAAAUUCCAUUUUCUACUCCCUACCACCCAAUUCUUAUUCCCAUCUUGUUCAACCUUUCCACCCCAAAGUUCCAAUCAAAUACCAUUCACUACUUCCUUUGUGCACUCUGAAAUGCCUGUUCUAUAGGCAACAAACUUCUUCAUCCUUAAUUUUUUCUUCUCCCCUUCUUUCCAUCAAAUACCUAUUAAUGAAUGACUCCCCCUUAUCACACAGCCUUCCUGGCCACUUUUUCCAGUAUUGAUUAUACCUUCUUUAAUUUUUUUCCACUAAUGGUUGAGGCAAAAGAAUUGGAAUAUUCCUGGUUCCCCAUUGCCACUUCCAAAUUCUCCCCCUAAAUCUAUCAUUCUGUAAUCUGUCCUCUUCUGAGAUUCAUGUAGUUCAUAUCUACCACCCAAUCAAAAUGCUAGUAGAUAUUUUCUAUUGGCCACUCCUCUUCCUUCCUUAAUGAGCUCAAUAACUGGUUCAUAAUUCUUCUCUCCUCCCAUAUGCUGAGGAAUUUCAACAUACAUAUUAGUUCUCCCUCAAAUAUCCUAACCUUUAGUUCCUCAACUUAUCUAUUCUCUAUGACCUCCAUUCCAUCUUAGUCACAUACAAGGAUGAUCAUACCCCUGACCUUGCCCUCACCCACAAAUAUACCACUACCAUGUUCAAGACUUCUGAAAUCCCCUUAUCUAACCACAAUCUAUUGCCUUUUUUACCCACCCUGCCCCCUAUCUUCCCUUACAGGAUCCUAUACCGCAUCCACAUCAUGAUCACUAAUCCCUCAACCCCAGUCUCCCUCCCAGGCCAUCAGCCUAUGUAUUAGCCAUUUUCUCCUUUUUUUCCUUAUCUUGACCCCUUUGUGAACCAGUUGAACUCUACAUAGUCGUCUUCUCUUGAAUACCUAGCCACUUUGUCAUUUUGCCAAUUAAAGUCUUAGCCUUGAUUGCUCCCAUCUCUCUCUACAUUUUUACACAUGUUGUUAAAUAAAAGUGGAAAAAAAUCAUGCAGCUGUUCUGACUGGGUCCAUUACAAAUUUGUUACACGAACUCAGUGGAGCCCUUAUUGCUGCUAGGAAUCUUUUUGUACUUACUAUGUCAGCUCACUAUCCCACUCUCCACAGUGGUUCUUUGAAAACUUUUCAUGUCUCCUCAAAUUUCACAUAGAUCCUCCUGCCUUCUUCAUCUCAGCUGGAAACUUUACCUCAUAUUUUUCUGAAAAUAUUUAGAGCUCCCUUUCCCCUGCCUCUUCCUCAUCUCAUAUCACUCAGAUUUACUCAUUAUUCUGCCACUAUCACCUCCUUCACCCCUGUCUCACAUGAUGAAGUGGUCUUAUUCCUUACAAAAGCUAACCUCAUUUAUCUACUCAAGUGAUCUCCUCCAACAACUGGCUUCUCAUCCUCUCUCUAUCACUUAAUUUCUUCUUUUUUUAAAUAACUCUUCUAUCUUACUAGCAACUCUAAGACAGAAGGAUAAAGGCUAGGCAAAAGUGAUUAAGUGACUUUUCCAGAUCACAGAUCCAGGAAGAGUCUAAGGCCAGAUUUGAAUUCAGGUCCUCCAGACUCCAGGCCUGGCACACUAUUCCCUGGGCAACUUAGCUGCCCCUAUCACUUAAUGUCAAUUCUCUUCUUGUUUACUGGCUUAUUUCCUACUACCUAAAAAUAUGCCUAUGUCUUCCGCAUCCUCAAAAAACCACCAAUAACUUGAUCUUUUCAUUAUCAUUAUCAUCAUCUAUCUCUUCUGCUCUUUUUGGCAACAGAUUGUAUAUGGGGUGAGAGAGAGAUAGGUAGGAGUCUAGAAUGUCCCCUAAGUUGUGAGCCUAAGGGACUGGGAGGAUGGUGAGCCUUUUAUGGUAAUAGGGAAGGUGGUGGGGCAAGAUUUAAGGAGAAAUAUAAUGAGUUUCCUUCUGGACAAACUGAGUUUAAGCUUCUACUGGAUAUCCAAUAUUCUUACAAGAUCUUAUUGCUUGACAUAUACUAUUAUUUGAGUCAAUGAACUGGCCUCCUGGCUGUUCCACAAACAAAACAUUCCAUCUUUCAUCUCUUUAUUUCCCCCUACUUCCCUAGCUUCUUUAAAUCUUAAAUAAUAUAUCUUCUAUAGGAAGCCUUUUUAAUCCCUUGUAAUUUUAAUGAUUUCCCUCUGCUAUACUAUUUCCUAUUUAUCUUGAAUAUACCUAAUUUGUACUUUUGUUGUUGUUGUUGUUUAUUGUCUCCCUCAUUAGAUUCUGAGCUCCUCGAGGGCAGGGACUGUCUUUUGUCCUUUUUUGUAUCCCCAGUGCUUAGUACAGUGCCUAGUAUACAGUUGUUGCUCAGACUGGUAGGGUUUCAAACUAAUGACAGAGAAGAGACAUUUUUAGCCUUUUAGAGUUUUCUGGGACUUUAGCAGGGGAAAUAUAUCAGACCUUUCACUGAGAGAGUGGGCCCAAGAUAACCAUUUUACAUGCAAGAAAAUUAAAAAUUUUCUGACUAGCAAUUUGGCCUUAGGAUUUUCAUUUGAGUAACAUAAUACUCUUUAAUAUUUUACUUCCUUAACAGAAUGGUUUUCUGUUUUCCCCUAUAUGUCUCAGUUCAACUAUUGCUUAACUUUUGGUCAGAAAUCCAUUUUAUGAUAUAUGAUGCCAGGCAGGUCUCUCAAGGAUUCUACUUUUUCAAAUGGAAGAUGUGAUAAGUGACAAUAUGGUAAAGAAGCUUUUUGAAACUCACUCUAGAGACCCUACUCAUCUCUAUAGAAUAUAAAGUAUCAUAUCAGCUAAAGACUUCUAGGUAAGAGUAGCAACUACUACUUAUUAAAUUCUGUGCGAUAUUGAGACCUUUCUCUCAACUUCUACCAGCAACUCAUCAUUUUUGGCCUUUUCCUCUGAAUUCUCAAUAAUUUGAAGAUCUUUAUCCUGUCUUCUCCAUCUCAGUGUUUUCUUCUUCAAAAUAAGCACCCUUAUUUCCUUCAACAUUGUCUCAUAUGUCAUAGCCUUCAGUCCUCUCAUUAUCCUGGUCAGUCUUCUUUAGGUGCUAAUCAACCAGAAAACCAGUCACUCUUCUGAGGCUAGUAAUACAAAGAAAGGCAAAGGGCAAAUCCCUUUUUCUCAAGAAGCCACAGUCUUGAGUUGACACCAUGCAAACAACUACAUACAAACAAAAUACAUAUAGGAAAAUUGGAAAUGAUCAAGGGAAGGUACUAGAGUUCCUGAGAAUCAGGAAAAUCUCCCUAUAGAAGGCCAUAUUUUAUCUGGGACUUCAAAGAAGUCAGGGAAGCCAGGAGGAAGAGAUAAAGGAAAGCAUUCUGGGCAUGAGCACUCAGAGAAAAUGUCUGGAGUAAGGAGAUGGAGCAUAUUGUAUGUGGAAGGAAUAGCAAGAAGGCCAGUAACAUUGUAUUGCAGAAUGUGUGUAUAUGGGAGGGGAGAAAGAGGGAAAGGGGGGUUGUUGGUAAAGUGUAAAGUGAAAGAUGAGAGAGCAGGCUGUGAAGAGCUUUGAGGACCAAACAAAGGAUUUUAUAUAUGAUCCUGUAGGGAGCACCUAGAGGGAGCACCUAGAGUUUAAUGUGUAUGUGUAUUUGUGAAGGGAGAGGGUGAUAUGAUCAGACCUUUAGUUUAGGAAGGUCUUUUAAUUUUGCUUUAGUAAUUGAUAUGAACCUGGAGUGGAAGAGGGAGAGAGAAACGUGGUCCACAGAUCAACCAGUAGGUAUUGGCAACAAUCCAGGCCUGAGAUGAUGAGGACCUAUACCAGGGUGAUCUUAGUGUCAGAGAACAGUAGGGGUCAUAUGCAAGAUUUUUUUUCAAUGUCCUUUGUAAAAUAUGAUUUCCUGAAUUUAACAUUGUCCUGAGGAUGUGGCCUGACUAGGGCAGAAUAUAGUAGGCCAGUCUCAUUUUUCAUUCUAUCUGUUUUGAAUGUAUAUAUGCCUGUAUUUUCAGAGAAACCAUAUACUAAUGUUCUGAAUACACUCUAAAAUUUCAGUGGCUUUUUUGACAGCAAUUCUGUAUCGUCAGUGUCUAUUUAGCUUGUAGUAUAUGAAAACUAUAUAAUUUAUUUUCACAUAAAUUCUUGUCUAAUUAUGACUCUUCUAUCACAUUCUUGUAAUGUUGAUUAAAUUUAGGUUAAGGAAUUUACAUUUAUCCCUAAUAAAUGUUGUUAUUCUUUCAUUGUUGUAAUAUUAUUAAAUUCAGUCUAUUGUCCUAGCCUAUUGAGAUCUUUUUUGGAUAUUGGUUGCCAUUCAUUCAUUUCUAGUUUUGUGUCAUGACAAGUAUCUCAUCUAACAUUACACUUAUGUGUUUGAUAAAAAUAUUGAAUGGCUCUGUGGUAUGAUAUUCUAUUAGAGAACUUGGUACAGGUUCAUUUGUUACAGGUUAACUCUUUUAUUCCUUUAUCCAUUCAACCAGAAGUCAUUUAUUUAAAUCUACCAAGUAUAAGGUACUAGUUAAGAUACAUUAUCAUUAUUCACUACUUCUUAGAUUAGGUUAUUCAACUUGAUCCCAUGAAAACAACAUCUUAGUCAAUUACUUUAUGAUAGACCCUAUUCUAGAUGCUGAACAAUACUAUCAUCCAGCCUAUAUCUCUUCAUCUUCUCCUCAUGGAUAGUAAGACAGACUUUGUGAAAUGCCCUAAUCCAGGGGUGUCGUGUUCUCUUUGUCAAUAUAGCAGGAUUUAGGUGAGGCAGAGCCCGAAGGAUGAAUAAUUGUAUCCUACUAUGAGUGGGAAAAAAAUUCCAUUUUUAUUCUUUCAUCUCAGUCCUAAUGUGGAGUACCAGGUCAUCUCCCUAGUUUCCUCAGAUCCUCAGAAACAGUAGAAGCAGUCAAUAAAGAAGGGGUUACAUACAGCUUGAAAAAGGUACUGGCACUUCCUGGCAUAUUAUCUCUUAUCUCUGACCCAGCAGGGACAUCAGAACUCAUAUUCUUCAUUAGCUUCAUUAGGAGGAAUGGUUUUCCAGGUUUAGCUCCCUCAAAGAACUGAUCCUGACCCCAUGGCCACUAAAAAUUUCAGCCAAGGCUCCUGAAGUGCCUUAUUAGUAACUUUUUCAAAGUGAGAGACUCUCACUGUUCAUUAGCACAAAUAGUUUGUCUUGCAAUGCAAGCAGUAGUUGAAAAAGAGAUAUCAAGAAGAAGUGAUUCAGAGAAGUACAAGUAAGAUCAAAUCAAAAUGUUAAGAAUACUUAUUAAGUGCCUAUUAUAUGCUAGACACUGUUUAAAUUUAUUCUGAGAAUUCUUGUCUCAUUUAGAGCCCAGUAAGGGUGAUCCUAUUCAGCCUAAGCCUGUAGUUAGUAGUUAAAGCCCCUGAGAGUCUCCCCAAUUCCCCUCUAGUUACAGCCAAGAUUCCUACCAUAUCCUUAGGAGUUUCCCAACCUCUUGCUCCCAAUGCCUAGAGACUUUGUUCUGAGUAUCCCAAACCUAAAUGAUUGUUCAGGCUAUCUAAUGGAUUACCUCUUUUAUUGCCUUUUAAAAAAAGCUGUAGAUUUUAUUUAUCAAUGCAAUGGAGUUCUUAGAUGUCAGUUUUGUUAACCUCUUCUUUGACUUUAAGACUUUUUAUUCUAGUGUUUAAUUGGGAUUUUUUACAUUUGUUGUUUUUCUAGAUUGAAAAAAAUUUAAAUUAUAUAUUCCAAUCACAGAUCUAUUUUGUUUCUUUUUGGUUGAUAAAAGCAUUUAGAAAUUCAAUUUUUCCCCUAGGGAUUUCUUUAGCUUAUUCCCAAAGUUUCAGCAUGUUGCUUAAUUAUUGUCAUUUUAUUUCAGAAAAUUCUCUUGUGUUUCUAUGAUUUGUUCUUUGAUCUACCAGGUUUUUAGUUAGUCAGGAAAUAAACAUUAUGUGCCAGGAAUUAUGCUAAACAGUGGGAAUUAAAUUGUUCUCCAAUUAAUUGUUUGUUCUUUCUUCAAAGGAACUCUAUUAAAUAUAUAUAUUUUUGUUAAUUUGUGAGGACAUAUGUCAUAUUUCUGCUUUUCUAAGGUUUUAUGCCCUAUGUACUUGGCCACUUUUUAUAAAUAUUCACAGCCUAGCUGAUAAAUAUGCAUAUUUCAAUUCCAUUUUGCAUUCACCAGAGAUCUAUCACUUCUAAUUUUUCUAAAAUUCUAUUCAUGUCCUUAACUUUACUAUUUGUCUCUUUGUUAGAAUUAUCUAGGUCUGGAAGGAAUACCCUCAGAUCCCUGAUUACUAUAGUAUUGCUUUCUAUUUUUAACUAUAAAUCAAUUAAAAUUUCCUUUAAAUAUUUAGAUUUUGUGCCAUUCAGUUAUAUAUAUUUUCUAAAUUAUAUAAGACAUAAUAAGAACAUGUUAUAUAUGCAUAUGUAUAUGUAUACACACACAUAUAUGUGGUAUAAUAUAUGACAUUAAUUAUCUGUGG
This is a long non-coding RNA of Monodelphis domestica (gray short-tailed opossum), 9397 nucleotides long. RefSeq lists it as uncharacterized. NCBI's taxonomy places the organism in Eukaryota, Metazoa, Chordata, Mammalia, Didelphimorphia, Didelphidae. The record is from RefSeq and is a predicted model, not a curated record.